This 1187-nucleotide ribosomal RNA is filed under the name Escherichia coli. RNAcentral describes it as "bacterial SSU rRNA". It matches the Rfam family "Bacterial small subunit ribosomal RNA", at positions 1 to 1178 of the family's 1533-position model. The record is from RNAcentral. Lineage: Bacteria; Pseudomonadati; Pseudomonadota; Gammaproteobacteria; Enterobacterales; Enterobacteriaceae.
AAAUUGAAGAGUUUGAUCAUGGCUCAGAUUGAACGCUGGCGGCAGGCCUAACACAUGCAAGUCGAACGGUAACAGGAAGAAGCUUGCUUCUUUGCUGACGAGUGGCGGACGGGUGAGUAAUGUCUGGGAAACUGCCUGAUGGAGGGGGAUAACUACUGGAAACGGUAGCUAAUACCGCAUAACGUCGCAAGACCAAAGAGGGGGACCUUCGGGCCUCUUGCCAUCGGAUGUGCCCAGAUGGGAUUAGCUAGUAGGUGGGGUAACGGCUCACCUAGGCGACGAUCCCUAGCUGGUCUGAGAGGAUGACCAGCCACACUGGAACUGAGACACGGUCCAGACUCCUACGGGAGGCAGCAGUGGGGAAUAUUGCACAAUGGGCGCAAGCCUGAUGCAGCCAUGCCGCGUGUAUGAAGAAGGCCUUCGGGUUGUAAAGUACUUUCAGCGGGGAGGAAGGGAGUAAAGUUAAUACCUUUGCUCAUUGACGUUACCCGCAGAAGAAGCACCGGCUAACUCCGUGCCAGCAGCCGCGGUAAUACGGAGGGUGCAAGCGUUAAUCGGAAUUACUGGGCGUAAAGCGCACGCAGGCGGUUUGUUAAGUCAGAUGUGAAAUCCCCGGGCUCAACCUGGGAACUGCAUCUGAUACUGGCAAGCUUGAGUCUCGUAGAGGGGGGUAGAAUUCCAGGUGUAGCGGUGAAAUGCGUAGAGAUCUGGAGGAAUACCGGUGGCGAAGGCGGCCCCCUGGACGAAGACUGACGCUCAGGUGCGAAAGCGUGGGGAGCAAACAGGAUUAGAUACCCUGGUAGUCCACGCCGUAAACGAUGUCGACUUGGAGGUUGUGCCCUUGAGGCGUGGCUUCCGGAGCUAACGCGUUAAGUCGACCGCCUGGGGAGUACGGCCGCAAGGUUAAAACUCAAAUGAAUUGACGGGGGCCCGCACAAGCGGUGGAGCAUGUGGUUUAAUUCGAUGCAACGCGAAGAACCUUACCUGGUCUUGACAUCCACAGAACUUUCCAGAGAUGGAUUGGUGCCUUCGGGAACUGUGAGACAGGUGCUGCAUGGCUGUCGUCAGCUCGUGUUGUGAAAUGUUGGGUUAAGUCCCGCAACGAGCGCAACCCUUAUCCUUUGUUGCCAGCGGUCCGGCCGGGAACUCAAAGGAGACUGCCAGUGAUAAACUGGAGGAAGGUGGGG